Molecule: ribosomal RNA, 371 nt
Filed under: uncultured organism
Description: partial 16S ribosomal RNA
Rfam family: Bacterial small subunit ribosomal RNA
Source: RNAcentral
GAAGGGGGCUAGCGUUGUUCGGAAUUACUGGGCGUAAAGCGCGUGUAGGCGGUUGUUCAAGUCGGGGUGUGAAAGCCUUGAGCUCAACUCAAGAAAUGCACUCGGUACUGGAUGACUAGAGGACCGGAGAGGAUAGUGGAAUUCCCAGUGUAGUGGUGAAAUACGUAGAGAUUGGGAAGAACACCAGUGGCGAAGGCGGCUAUCUGGACGGUUUCUGACGCUAAGACGCGAAAGCGUGGGGAGCAAACAGGAUUAGAUACCCUGGUAGUCCACGCCGUAAACGAUGGGUGCUAGACGUUGGCGGGCUUGCUCGUCAGUGUCGCAGCUAACGCGUUAAGCACCCCGCCUGGGGAGUACGGUCGCAAAGAUUG